This 1062-nucleotide ribosomal RNA is filed under the name Triticum aestivum (bread wheat). RNAcentral describes it as "partial small subunit ribosomal RNA". Lineage: Eukaryota; Viridiplantae; Streptophyta; Magnoliopsida; Poales; Poaceae. The record is from RNAcentral.
AUGUUGCCCGGGUGCGGGCUGUUGGAUUGCCUCCGCCGCGGCGAGCGCGACACGCAUGACGCCGGCCAGACGGACCCCCGCGUCUCGGCCGAGCCCAGCGGCGGGUCGGCGUCCGGCAAGAGCGGGCGGGCGAGGCGGCUCGAGUGGGCCGAGGUCGAGUCGGUCACCGGCGGCUUCUCGUCCCGCGUGAUCGGCCAGGGCGGGUUCAGCACCGUGUACCUGGCGUCGCUCACCUCCUCCCGCCUCGGCGCCGUCAAGGUGCAGCGGAGCAGCGAGCGCCUCCACCGCGUCUUCCGCCAGGAGCUCGACGUGCUCAUGUCCGUGCGCCAUCCCCACAUCGUCCGCCUCCUCGGCUACUGCGACGAACGAGAGGAAGGCGUCUUGGUGUUCGAGUACGCUCCCAACGGCGACCUGCACGAGAGGCUCCACCGGAGCGGCCAGAGGCGGGCGGCGCUGCCGUGGGCGCGGCGGAUGGCCGUCGCGUUCCAGGUGGCGAUGGCGCUGGAGUACCUCCACGAGAGCCAGGACCCUGCGGUCAUCCACGGCGACGUCAAGGCGUCCAACGUCCUGCUCGACGCCAACAUGGACGUCAAGCUCUGCGACUUCGGCUUCGCCCACGUCGGCUUCUCCGCCGCGGUGCUCCCCGCCGCGGCCAGGGCGUCGGCGCGCCACGUCAUGGGCUCCCCGGGGUACGUGGACCCGCACUUCCUCCGCUCCGGCGUGGCCACCAAGAAGAGCGACGUGUACAGCUUCGGGGUGCUGCUGCUGGAGCUCGUGACCGGGCGGGAGGCCAUCUGCGCAGACACGGGUUGCCGGCUCACGGUCACCGUGGCGCCCGUGGUCAGCGAGGGCAAAGUGGCCGACGUGGUGGACCGGAGGUUGGGGGACGCGUACGAUCGCGAGGAGGCCGUGACCGUGGCGGCGCUCGCGCUGCAGUGCAUCAACGCCAGCUCCGGGCUCCGGCCGUCCAUGACAGACGUGGUGCGCGUUCUCCAGGAGAAGACGUCGGCGUUGAUCUCCGCCGUUGGACCUAAGCCGGCCAGCAUGAUGGUGGUUUCGUAA